CCGUGCUAGGUGGGGAGCUAGCGGUUCCCUGUAACCCGCAAUCCGCUACAGCGGGGCUGAACUCCCGUCCGAGGCGGCACCUUUUGGGGCCAGGCCCGCGCGCGCAGCGAGGAAGGCCGGGUCCUGUGCAACGGGAACUGACCAACCCCGCCAGGCCCGGGAGGGAGCAACGGUACGUCAGCCUCCCCGUGUGCCGCAGGGACACCUGGUCGGAGCCAGCGGCGCGGAUACCGCUCGGAGGGUGCUGGUCGACGGCGGGUGCACGG
RNAcentral lists this signal recognition particle RNA (266 nucleotides) under Armatimonadetes bacterium RBG_16_67_12. RNAcentral's name for it is "signal recognition particle sRNA large type". It matches the Rfam family "Bacterial large signal recognition particle RNA". Rfam says of the family: The signal recognition particle (SRP) is a universally conserved ribonucleoprotein involved in the co-translational targeting of proteins to membranes. Archaeal SRP consists of a 7S RNA and homologues of the eukaryotic SRP19 and SRP54 proteins. Lineage: Bacteria; Bacillati; Armatimonadota. The record is from RNAcentral.